CGACGCGUCUGCUUUGCUCCCUGCGCCUUUCGACAAAGCUAUUUCUGCCGCACGAAGUGGAUCUCUCCAGGCUGACCGGCUCCCCAUUUCUUCAAAGAGAUGCUGUGACGCAUAAUUGGUGCCUGUCGCCAUGCGGCUAGCAGAGUAGCAUCGCUCCUGCGCCGUGGGGAUUUGGCAGAGGGCAUGUUGGCUUCCAAGAACAAAACAUGACAAAAAGGCAUCCCCCAAAAGCCAGAAGGGUCUCCAUCCGUUCCUUACUCAGCCAGUGAAAAAUAUCCUCAUGCGGCUGCUUCCAAAGAUGGGACUCAGGAACCAAAGUCUUCAUGAAAUAAAAUAAAAAGGACAGCAAAGGGGAAAAUGACGGUUUGUUUGACAAAAUCCUGCAGAUGCAGGGAGAGAACAGACCUGAGGAAUCUCUUAUUCUGUCCUCCUCUCGUUGUUCCAUUAUGACAAAUAAACUUAAAUAAAGAAGUGUUUCA
RNAcentral lists this long non-coding RNA (479 nucleotides) under Notechis scutatus (mainland tiger snake). RNAcentral describes it as "lncRNA (ENSNSUG00000005585.1)". The record is from RNAcentral. Lineage: Eukaryota; Metazoa; Chordata; Lepidosauria; Squamata; Elapidae.